AUAAAAGCUGGCUUGCCUGCGAAGGCAUCGGCUGGGUCUGCCUGAAGGAUUGAGGUGUCUGCAUCGCAGGCAAGCCAGCUCCCAC
Molecule: unclassified non-coding RNA, 85 nt
Filed under: Pseudomonas poae
Lineage: Bacteria; Pseudomonadati; Pseudomonadota; Gammaproteobacteria; Pseudomonadales; Pseudomonadaceae
Source: RNAcentral